RNAcentral lists this ribosomal RNA (307 nucleotides) under uncultured bacterium. RNAcentral's name for it is "bacterial SSU rRNA". It matches the Rfam family "Bacterial small subunit ribosomal RNA", at positions 28 to 334 of the family's 1533-position model. The record is from RNAcentral.
GACGAACGCUGGCGGCGCGCCUAACACAUGCAAGUCGAACGAGUGGAUGGUCUUCGGACCUGAAGCUAGUGGCGGACGGGUGAGUAACACGUGAGGAACCUGCCUUUCAGAGUGGGAUACCGUUUGGAAACGAACGUUAAUACCGCAUAAUGUAUAUUGAUCGCAUGGUCGAUAUACCAAAGAUUUAUCGCUGAGAGAUGGCCUCGCGUCUGAUUAGAUAGUUGGUGAGGUAACGGCCCACCAAGUCUACGAUCAGUAGCCGGACUGAGAGGUUGAUCGGCCACAUUGGGACUGAGACACGGCUCAG